Triticum dicoccoides is the source of this 678-nucleotide long non-coding RNA. RefSeq lists it as uncharacterized. The transcript is spliced from 3 exons. NCBI's taxonomy places the organism in Eukaryota, Viridiplantae, Streptophyta, Magnoliopsida, Poales, Poaceae. The record is from RefSeq and is a predicted model, not a curated record.
GCGCAGACCGCAUCUUCCCCACGAACCCUAGCCGCGUCCUCGUCUCCUCCUCCAUCCGCGCGCCUCAGCGGCGACCCUAUGGAGGGCGGCCGGGUCGGAGCGGUCCCCGCGUCCCUCCUUCCCCGCUCGGCGCUCUCUACUCCCAGCGCAGCUGCCGCCUCCCUCCACUCUUCCCAUCUCGCUAGAGCCGCCGCAUCCGGAGGCGACCGGCGUUGCUCCAUCUCGACCUGCCCGUAACCUUCUCUCCCCGCAGCGGGCGGAGAAGAUGGAGAGGAGCUCGUCCGCCCACCUUCCACCAUGGUUUGCAGCGGUCGGAGAAGAUGGAGAGGCCGAACUGCGGCUGCCUCGCGUGCGCUCUCCUGCAUCUCGCGUGGGAGCGAGUGGUGGUGACUAGCAUAGAAGGCGGAGGAGGUCAUUGGGGCCGGCUUCCCUUCCGUUUUGGCUGCCAAGCUCCACGCGUUGGUGUUUGAUGAAAGUUCAGUAAGGCUGUGAGGGAAUACCAAACGAGAGAGGAUCCAGUAUCUUUUACAUGCAUCAGAUAUAGAUUGCAGUCAAGACACCUGCUCCCUCGUCAUCGACGGAAGGAGGAGAGCAGCAGCCACAACAGGCGACGGUGCUGGCGAAUGCGUCAGACAUGAGUCGCUUCGGCUUCUUCCAGCGGCCCAGCCAUGACGCCCU